Lagenorhynchus albirostris (white-beaked dolphin) is the source of this 2336-nucleotide long non-coding RNA. RefSeq lists it as uncharacterized. The transcript is spliced from 6 exons. Lineage: Eukaryota; Metazoa; Chordata; Mammalia; Artiodactyla; Delphinidae. The record is from RefSeq and is a predicted model, not a curated record.
AGAGAGAAUCUGGUCACUGAAUUUUCUGAAAUGUCAUUGUGGAUCCUACCCAGUAGUGUUGCAACAAGGCUAAAAGUCGUAUUAGCUGCCUUUAGGACAGAAACAAACCACUCCUUUUGUGGACCAAACCACAAGGUAAAAUAACCUUGUUUAAAGAAAAAAGUAGGAGUGUAUUGCAGAGGCCUUGACUAGGUUUAUGAUGACACAGGACCUUGUCUGAACAUGAUGAUUUCAAAAUUUGAGCUUAAAAGGACACUCUGAAAUCCAGUCACUGUGCCUCAAUAGACUUUUCAGAGGACAUUAUUCUUGGCAGAAAAUGUUGGCUUGACAUGUGAAAACUGAAUAGCUAGAAAUGGCAGGUGUAGUCGUACACUUUGCCAGUUUUUCAAACAUCCCUUUUUUUUCUUUUCAUAGAUUUUUCUGAGCUAAUUAUUUUCUCUUUUUUCUUUUUUUUAUAUAUACAUAUAUGUGUGUGUAUAUAUGUGUGUGUGUGUGUGUGCCCACACACACUGUUCAAAGCAAAAAUGGGAGCUCACCCUUGGAUCUCAGAAGGCACACAGGUGGCGAGAUGGAAACAAAGACAUAUAAAAAGGAAGCUGCCACCUCUUGGAUCAGACAUUGAAUGACAGAGCUCUAGGUGUCUAAGCGUUGUCCAGAAAGAAUAUUUAUGGAACACAUAUGAAACGCAAUGAGUGUGGAACAAAAAGGAAGACGUGAGAAGGGAAUUGUCGUUUUAAACCGCAGGUAUUUCAGAAGCAACAUUUAAACAGCAGAGGAAAUUUUAAGAUACAACCAAUUUGUGCCUGUCUUCAUCGUUACCUGUUGACAUCUCGGGAGUGUUGGGCUGUUGUGUCCAACUUUGUAUUCCCAGUGACUGUUAUGAAUAGUUUUUGAGUGAUCGUGAAGAGCGUGUGACUUAGAUACUUGUGCUAGUGCGGCAAAGAGUUUUACACAGUGAAACAGAGUAUUGGACUAUCCACGGAAAGAAGGGAGAAGAUGGCAUUUGAGGUGAACAUGAUGAAAGAAAGACAUAACAUGCAGAUAACCUGAGGAUGUCUGACAUCAUCAGGAACAUUAUUCCUGUGAAGUUCCUUAAUUUAUAAAUCUGAACUGUAAACCACAGGGAGAUGAUAGUUCCAAGAAAAGACACUUUUGCCAUCUUUGUUUUUAAUCUCAAUAAUUGGUACCAUGAGACCUGUUGCAGUAUUCCUCUUUUCAAGUGUUCAUCACUCCCAUCCAUCCCUGGGCCUAGGAGAACCCCUUGGCGAUAAUGAUUGUGUGAUGACUGAAUAGGAAAAACUGAUGCCAUUGCUUCUGCCACCAUCUUCAGUAAAACCAAAGACAGUCUUCAUAAUGUAUAGAGAUUCCUCAUUGAUGCGUUGCAAUGGACACACUCCCUGUAGAUCACAAAAACAGGCUGAGAAGGCUGAAGUUUCAAAGUGACCUAAAGGGUGAUAUUGGAGAGAACUGUAACCAGGCAUGUUGACUGUUUUCAUUGUUGCCAUUGGACUAAAUCUCAGGAGCUUGAAUGAUGGAGGCAUUAUUACACAGAGAAGCUCAGGAUGGUAUAAUUUCAAGGCUUCAUUACAGUGCUCCCAUAAGUAUUAGGUGCACAUUUUUAAAAUUUUCAUUUAUCACAGGGAAAUUGAAAAUUGACUCAUAAAAAAUCAUCUUUUUCAAGAUUUCAAAGGACAUGGAAAUUUGUGAAGUAUAAUAUUUUACUUCUUAAAUGCCUUUUUUCCUCUUCUAAUUCUGCCACCUCUGUCUGUGUUAUCUACUAUUAAUGAAAUUUUGUGCACAUCCUUUUGGGUGUAUUGAUAAAUUAAUAUGCAAGUUAUUUUUUGGGUGGUCUAUAUACUAGCUACAGAUUUUCUAUACAGUAAACAUGAUUUAUAUAUAAUUGUAAAUUUAUCCAACUAAUUUGUUGAAAUAAUUCCAGUGAAUUGGAACUGCUAGGACUAAGGGUAUCCAAAAUUUAUAGUUUUGAGUCCAAACUAGUUUUCCCUACUAUACAGACAGGACCUCAUCAAUCUUGUUCCCCAGUGUUUAUGUGGGUAUAUUUCCUAAAACUGUACAAAUGUUACAUUUUUAAUCUUUGGUAAUAUGGUAUUACAAAGAAAUUGCUUUUCUUCUGUUACUGUUCAGCUCUGUCAUCUUCAUAUAUGCUUAAUCCUUACUAGUCAUUUGUGUUAUUUCAUUUUCUUCUGUUUUUUUUUUCCAUUCCAUUGAUAUAUCAAUGUCUUUGUUACUGGUUUCUAAGAACUCAUUUUUUAUUAAGGAUGUUAACCAUUUGUCAUGCAGUGCAAAUGAAGUACCAUAUUUUAUUGCUAUCAAUU